GGCCCAAUUUCUUCUUCUGGAAUUGAUUGAAGUUAAUCCGGUUAGGAGCAAAGCUCCAAUUUCUCCUCCUCGCCGUUCUUGCUCCAUUCAUUUAGCACUUACUAAGAUGAAGGUUUAUGAACCCAUACCUGAAUCAGAAAAUCCAAACAUCGCGACACCAUCUACGCAGAUUUGAGAAGAUGGGUUGAGUAGAGGCAGUCUUACCAAGAGCUGCUACAAAACAAGAGGCAAGAAAAAGGGUUCCUCCAAUCGAGAACUUUCAAGUGACAGGCUUUGAUUCUGGGAAGAAGGAGAUCCGAGCGCGCCAUCACGAAAUGGUAAAUGAGCGUUUCUGACCACUGAGCUCACUAAACAUCCACACACUUCUUCUCUUAUAACAAGAGACAGAUUCUCCGAAAGCCAAAUAAAAGAGCUAAGGUGACAGAAUAGGCUCAGCGGAACUAUGAAGUAAGAACCUAUGC
RNAcentral lists this long non-coding RNA (461 nucleotides) under Brassica napus (rape). RNAcentral describes it as "long non-coding RNA (BNAP_LNC016151)". The record is from RNAcentral. Lineage: Eukaryota; Viridiplantae; Streptophyta; Magnoliopsida; Brassicales; Brassicaceae.